UUUUUUUUGUUGUUUUUUAUAUAUUUGUUUGUAAUCAUAAAAAUAAUAAUAAAAUAAUAAUAUUAUUACUAUAAUAAUAAUUCCGCUUGGAUUAUUAUUAUUAUUAUUAUUAUUAUUAUUAUUAUUAUUAUUAUUAUUAUUAUUAUUAUUAUUAUUAUUAUUAUGGUGGUGAGAGGGAGGUUGAAAAAAAUGUAAUAAAAAACUAGACGGUUGGAGACGAUGAAGGCCGGGGAGGGGAGGGAAAACCCCCCUCUCCAUUGAAGAUGCUCUAAUAGGGAGCAAAAACUGGUAAAUUUCCUCAACCAAAAACAUAAGUUUUUAGUGAAAUAUAUUAUUUAAUAUUAGGGUCUUUAGCAACAAACCUCUCAAAGCGCUAAGAAAUAGAACUAAAUAUAAUCGUAAAUUCAUCUUUUGCAAUACCUACUAGCUUUCUUUUGUACAAAAAAUAUCCCUCAUUUACCUACUGCACCAGUAAUUAUGUGGACUGCAUGUAUCAAUUUUGGACUGCAUUUAGCACUUUUUUUAUUCUUUAGUAAAAAUAUUUUUUAAUUUUUUUUAAACAAAAAAUUGAUUUUUUUUUUCAGAUAGAUUUAUUACGCCGUCGCCGAAUAUGACUAUAGUUGAAUAUGACUAUAUCAACUGUAGUCGUAUUCUUUCUUUAUAUUACCAUUUUUUACAUUUUCAACUUAAAAUUUUUUAUUGUAUAGUGUAGUACAGACAUGUUUACCAAAUUAUAAAUAAAAAAAAAUUAAAAAAAAAAAAAAAAAAAAAAAAGAUUGCAUGUUAUUUACGAAAUAUUCCAAUCAACAUUCACACAAAAAAUCACAAUUUGAAUCUUGUUACUAUAAGUCAACUUGAAACGAGAAGAUAGAACAUAUUUGAAUAUGACUAUAGUCAUAUUCAAUAAUAGUCAUAUUCGAAUAUGACUGUAGUUCACAUCUGGAGAGGAAAAAAGAAGAAGAGAGAAAUCGAAGCAAACAAAGAUAGAGACAGAAAGAUAACGAAAGAGAGGCAGAGGGGUUGGGGACAGCGGCGGUGAACAAAAGAGAGAGCGAGGGAGGCGGCGACAAUGGUGGUGGUUACAGAUCUGGAAAAAAAAAAAAAAGAGAAAUCGAUAGAGAGAUAACGAACAAGAGAGAAAAAAGAUUUAUGUGAAGACAAAGGAGGCGGCGGCGAUGGCAACGAGCGGCGACGGUGGUGGUGGUGUAUUGAUCUGAAGAAAAAAAAAAGAAAUCUAGAGAGAGAUAACGAACAAGAGAGCAAGAAAUUUAUGUGGAGACGAAGGAGGAGGCACCAACGGUGGCAACGAGCGGCGACGGUGGUGGUGGUGUAUAGAUCUGGAAAAAAAUUUGAAAUCGAGAUAGAGAUAACGAACAAGAGAGAAAGAGAUUUAUGUGGAGACGAAGGAGGCGGCGUCAACGGCGAUGGUAGCGGCGGCGGCAACGGUAGUGGAGGAAGGUCGGAUUUUUCGGAGAGAGUUGAAGGAUUUAGGUGGAGAGGUGGAGAAGAGAGGAGAUGAAAUUAAAGUGAUAGAGGUGGGGACAAAUAAUUAAGAUUUAGAGUUAUAGUAAUUGAGAGUAUUUUUGUCUUUUCACACUAGUUCAGAAUGAAACUUGGGUGUAGG
Molecule: long non-coding RNA, 1624 nt
Filed under: Erythranthe guttata (spotted monkey flower)
Lineage: Eukaryota; Viridiplantae; Streptophyta; Magnoliopsida; Lamiales; Phrymaceae
Description: long non-coding RNA (EGUT_LNC003894)
Source: RNAcentral